GACGAACGCUGGCGGCGUGCUUAACACAUGCAAGUCGAACGGAAAGGCCCUGCUUUUGUGGGGUGCUCGAGUGGCGCACGGGUGAGUAACACGUGAGUAACCUGCCCUUGACUUUGGGAUAACUUCAGGAAACUGGGGCUCAUACCGGAUAGGAGCUCCUGCUGCAUGGUGGGGGUUGGAAAGUUUCGGCGGUUGGGGAUGGACUCGCGGCUUAUCAGCUUGUUGGUGGGGUAGUGGCUUACCAAGGCUUUGACGGGUAGCCGGCCUGAGAGGGUGACCGGCCACAUUGGGACUGAGAUACGGCCCAGACGCCUACGGGAGGCAGCAGUGGGGAAUAUUGCACAAUGGGCGGAAGCCUGAUGCAGCAACGCCGCGUGCGGGAUGACGGCCUUCGGGUUGUAAACCGCUUUCGCCUGUGACGAAGCGUGAGUGACGGUAAUGGGUAAAGAAGCACCGGCUAACUACGUG
Molecule: ribosomal RNA, 468 nt
Filed under: uncultured bacterium
Lineage: Bacteria
Description: partial 16S ribosomal RNA
Rfam family: Bacterial small subunit ribosomal RNA
Source: RNAcentral